UUAGUUAUACCAAUUAGGAUUAGCAAUGGAAAAGGAAAUUUACCUUAUGAGUUUCAAUUCUGUUAAGCAAUUUCGAGACGGCUUUACGAACCUUGUCAGAUAUAUGAUAAAGUCCAAAUGCAAUUACAGAUAAGCCUCCUGAGUGAAGGGGGCAAUUAGACAAUAAAUAAUUUACAUCUUCUUCCGUUCGAAUGUGUGACUCAAGAGCAAGAAAUAUUUCGGCAGCAUCUGUUGUAGAGAGAGACGAGUUCCUUAGUCUAUCCAGGUGAAACUGAAUAUCCAUACAACGAAGUACAGGGGUGCUUGCACAAUGAAGCCGAUAGCAAUAGUCUUUAUACGUGGAUGCUUGUCUCCAAGCUUCAAACUUUGGGGCUAAAUAAAGAAGUUCAUUAACCUUUUCAUCGUCAUUAUCCCAACUCCACCCAAAUCCUUUAAACUUGUAAUCCUUAU
Non-coding RNA from Schizosaccharomyces pombe (fission yeast), 450 nucleotides. The record is from the annotation of a GenBank genome assembly. Lineage: Eukaryota; Fungi; Ascomycota; Schizosaccharomycetes; Schizosaccharomycetales; Schizosaccharomycetaceae.